Long non-coding RNA from Lynx canadensis (Canada lynx), 2097 nucleotides. NCBI's taxonomy places the organism in Eukaryota, Metazoa, Chordata, Mammalia, Carnivora, Felidae. The record is from Ensembl.
GGAGGCGGGCAGACACUGAACAGGCUGGGGAUUCUCACAAACCGAAGGACGGUUGAUAUCCAUCCGCUGCUGCCUGCAGCACACUACCACCACCACCACCCUGAACUAGGGAUCCUAUCCCCCACUGCCAGUCGUCCCCAGGUCCCUUUUAUUGCGGUGCCAGCAAUGAGGGGGUGGUCGCCUCGGAGGUCCGCAGAGGCGGGCUGCUGUGAGCCCGCCCCUUAGGCUGGCGCACCUCCUGGCCCCGCCCCCCGUGGGUCGGAACUAGGGUGGGCCAGGGAGGGGGCGUCUAGCCCAUUCGUGCUGUAUCCCUCCGCCCCCCUUCCCGACACCCUUGGUGAGAGCGGUUCGUGCGGCAUCCUGCGCAGCCCCUGCCCAGUUUGGUGCUGCAGCGCGGGGGGGCGGGACGCCUUUUUGCGAUUCUGACAGCACGCUAGGUGGUGGGAGUCCGAGUGAGGAGCUCCGAGAAGAGGGGGAGGACAACAACCUGCACCUUGAGCCUGUGAAGGGUGUGACUCUUCUCCAGCUAAAGAACUGUUCUUUGGUGUAAAGGAUAGAAUUUCCUGAGGACCCCUGCUGUGUGGGCUGGCUGAAAUAGGUGGCAGUGAGGUAGGAUAUAUGUUUGCAUGGGGAAAGUGGAAGGGUAGGGGCAUGCAAAGAUGGUAUUAAAAUAAUAGUCCUGUUAUCUUCACUGACUGCUUUCAAAAUACAGUUGCUCACUAUCUACUGUUGCAUCUCAUAUUUUGUUCAGGAAAAGAGGUGUAGUCUCUGCUGGGAAAAUAACCAAAUUCAAAAUUGGAAGGAAGUAUAAUUAGACAAGUUGCAGGUCUUGGGGGGAAUUGAUGUGGAAUCAUUUGGUAGGAUCAGACAGGUGGGAGACAUUUAACAUGGCCUUAAAUAAACAAAAGUCUGUAUUAUAAUGCUUGUGAUGGCUGUUGGGCUAGCUCAAUCUCUUCUGGUUUCUCUUUUGUCUUUUUAUCUAUUCUUAAGUUUGUUCCUUUAUAGGUUCCUGUAGAAAUAUGUAGAUAGUUGUUCACUUUGAAUUAAGAAAAAAAGACGCAAACUAUUCAUUUGGAUUCAAGGUGAGUGUGAGCAUGAGCAUGUGUAAUGAUUGGGGAUGUAAAUAGGCUAUUGGCAAGCCUAAAACAUAUCUUGGAGCCAUUGUCUUCCAACUUUACAGAUAACCUCUAUCCUCACAUUUGGGUAUAGAAAAUGAGGAUAAAUGAAGCCAGUAUUGUGCCUACAGGGUAAUUGAUAGAUACCCAGGAAAUGGGGUAGGAAGCCAUGAGGAGGACCAAAGAGACCAGAAAUGUUAUAUAACCAAAGUUCUAGAUUUGGAAAGACAGACACUUGGUUUAUAAUCCAGAGUAAAUAUCUUGUCUACCAAAUGCUCAGAAUUCCAACUCUCCUGUAUUUUUGUCCAAAAGUCUGCCUGUGAAUUGGCUGUAGGGCUUUUGAUCCUAGAAGUAAGGAAGGAGGAGGAAAUCGUACCAGAUCAGUACAGGUUGGUGUGAGACUUACCUGGAUAGACCUGUAGCAUAUAGUAUACCUAAGGGCCUGGAUGUUUCUUAGCCUCUUUCACUUUCAGCAAACUUUUCCAUCAUCCCUGCUCCUAUGUGUUGUAGAGAAAAGAAUGCGUUAGUGCCUGGGUAGGAUAUUGUUGGGCAUGAGUGUGGGAGUGUGGAAGGGAUAAAAUGAGGGAAUAGAGUUUUCUACUAUUCUACCUCACAAUCCAUUUCUAUUCUCUCAUAUCAUGUGUGGCUCUCUGCAUAGUAAAGCACAGUUGGAAGAGACUUAAAGCUUGUUUUCUUCUUCCACCUCAGGUCCAUCUCCAGUGGUGGCUGUAGUGGCCUUGUAGUGGCAGAUCAUCACCUUCAACAGGUCUGCACUCAGGAACUAUCAUCUUCGCUCAGACUAAGUGCCUCUGUCUUUUCUCUGUAUUGUUGACAGAGGUUCUGUGUUUGGAAAGGGGACUGUGUGACUGCUGAGCUGAUGACUGACUCUUGCCACAAAGUUUAUGUCUGAUCCAGUGAAAGAGUGUUAAGACAUUGACCUGGGACACAUUGAAAACCAAGGCCAAGACUGUAUAGAGCUAUC